Molecule: ribosomal RNA, 401 nt
Filed under: uncultured bacterium
Lineage: Bacteria
Description: bacterial SSU rRNA
Rfam family: Bacterial small subunit ribosomal RNA
Source: RNAcentral
GGGCCCGCACAAGCGGUGGAGCAUGUGGUUUAAUUCGAUGCAACGCGAAGAACCUUACCAGGGCUUGACAUACUGCGAAUCUCCUUGAAAGAGGAGAGUGCCUUCGGGAAUGCAGAUACAGGUGGUGCAUGGCUGUCGUCAGCUCGUGUCGUGAGAUGUUGGGUUAAGUCCCGCAACGAGCGCAACCCUUGUUUUUAGUUACCAAUUCGUUGGGCUUUCUAGAAAGACUGCCGGUGACAAACCGGAGGAAGGUGAGGAUGACGUCAAGUCAGCAUGCCCCUUAUGUCCUGGGCUACACACGUGCUACAAUGGCUAGGACAAAGAGUCGCAAGUUUGCGAAAACAAGCUAAUCUCAUAAACCUAGCCUAAGUUCAGAUUGUAGGCUGCAACUCGCCUACAUG